UGCAGUCGAGCGAGGUCCAUCCGGUGGCAACACCGGGGAAGACCUAGCGGCGAACGGGUGAGUAACACGUGAGCAACCUGCCCCGAAGACUGGGAUAACACCGGGAAACCGGUGCUAAUACCGGAUGCCCUCCUCUGGUCGCAUGGCCUAGGGAGGAAAGGAACCUUGCUUCGGGAGGGGCUCGCGGGCUAUCAGCUUGUUGGUGAGGUAACGGCUCACCAAGGCGACGACGGCUAGCUGGUCUGAGAGGACGACCAGCCACACUGGGACUGAGACACGGCCCAGACUCCUACGGGAGGCAGCAGUGGGGAAUCUUGCGCAAUGGGCGAAAGCCUGACGCAGCAACGCCGCGUGGGGGAUGAAGGCCCUCGGGUUGUAAACCCCUUUCAGCAGGGACGAAUCUGACGGUACCUGCAGAAGAAGCCCCGGCCAACUACGUGCCAGCAGCCGCGGUAAUACGUAGGGGGCGAGCGUUGUCCGGAUUUAUUGGGCGUAAAGAGCUCGUANGCGGCUUGGCAAGUCGGGUGUGAAACCUCCAGGCUCAACCUGGAGACGCCACUCGAUACUGCCAUGGCUAGAGUCCGGUAGGGGACCACGGAAUUCCUGGUGUAGCGGUGAAAUGCGCAGAUAUC
RNAcentral lists this ribosomal RNA (632 nucleotides) under uncultured bacterium. Its description in RNAcentral is "bacterial SSU rRNA". It matches the Rfam family "Bacterial small subunit ribosomal RNA", at positions 56 to 698 of the family's 1533-position model. The record is from RNAcentral.